GAUGAACGCUAGCUACAGGCUUAACACAUGCAAGUCGAGGGGAAACGACAUUGGAAGCUUGCUUCCUUUGGGCGUCGACCGGCGCACGGGUGAGUAACGCGUAUCCAACCUUCCCGCAAGUAAGGGAUAACCCGUAGAAAUGCGGCCUAAUACCUUAUGUUUUCCUUAGAGGGCAUCUGAUGAGGAACAAAGAUCCGUCGCUUGCGGAUGGGGAUGCGUCUGAUUAGUUAGUCGGCGGGGUAACGGCCCACCGAGACGACGAUCAGUAGGGGUUCUGAGAGGAAAGUCCCCCCACAUUGGAACUGAGACACGGUCCAAACUCCUACGGGAGGCAGCAGUGAGGAAUAUUGGUCAAUGGGCGGAAGCCUGAACCAGCCAAGUAGCGUGCAGGACGACGGCCCCUAUGGGUUGUAAACUGCUUUUACUGCCGGGGGAUAAAGUGAUGCCUGCGGGCGUUAUUGCAUGUACCGUACGAAUAAGGACCGG
This 486-nucleotide ribosomal RNA is filed under the name uncultured bacterium. RNAcentral describes it as "bacterial SSU rRNA". It matches the Rfam family "Bacterial small subunit ribosomal RNA", at positions 28 to 496 of the family's 1533-position model. The record is from RNAcentral.